GAUGAAGAACGCAGUGAAAUGCGAUAAUUAAUGUGAAUUGCAGAAUUCAGUGAAUCAUCGAGUCUUUGAACGCACAUUGCGCCCCCUGGUAUUCCGGGGGGCAUGCCUGUCCGAGCGUCAUUGCUGCCCUCAAGCACGGCUUGUGUGUUGGGCUUCCGUCCCUGGCAACGGGGACGGGCCCAAAAGGCAGUGGCGGCACCAUGUCUGGUCCUCGAGCGUAUGGGGCUUUGUCACCCGCUCCCGUAGGUCCAGCUGGCAGCUAGCCUCGCAACCAAUCUUUUUAACCAGGUUGACCUCGGAUCAGGUAGGGAUACCCACUGAACUUAAGCAUAUCAAUAAGCGGAGGA
Molecule: unclassified non-coding RNA, 347 nt
Filed under: soil metagenome
Description: partial contains 5.8S ribosomal RNA, internal transcribed spacer 2, and large subunit ribosomal RNA
Rfam family: 5.8S ribosomal RNA (bases 1-120)
Source: RNAcentral